UACGUAGGUGGCAAGCGUUGUCCGGAUUUACUGGGCGUAAAGGGCGUGCAGGCGGUUUGUUAAGUGCAGGGUGAAAGCUCCCGGCUCAACUGGGAGAGGUCCUUGCAUACUGGCAAACUCGAGGGAGGCAGAGGAAAGUGGAAUUCCCGGUGUAGUGGUGAUAUGCGUAGAUAUCGGGGGGAACACCUGUGGCGAAGGCGGCUUUCUGGGCCUUACCUGACGCUGAGACGCGAAAGCGUGGGGAGCGAACCGG
Molecule: ribosomal RNA, 253 nt
Filed under: uncultured bacterium
Lineage: Bacteria
Description: partial 16S ribosomal RNA
Rfam family: Bacterial small subunit ribosomal RNA
Source: RNAcentral